UCAUCCAUCGACAAUGAAAGGACCACUACAGCCGUAGAGGAGGCCGACGGCUGGCAUAUCACCAACCGCCCACUCGUGCGGUGGCGCGACAAGCUCACAACGCCGAGGGACAGCCCGGCGAGGGACGCAGCACAACGCCGCCGCCGCCGCCCGUCCACGCUAUAUAGUCCCUUUUCUCGAUCUUUGGGCUUUGGGUGCAAUGCGAGGUCAUCGGGCCUUGGGUGCACGGAUGGCGCCUGGGCCAUGGAUCGUCGUGGGAAGGUAUUGGUGAAGAUAAUCCCGACGACAAUGACAGGGACGCUGGUGGCAAGGCGGAGGGGUGAUAUGAGAGCGUGGGGAAGAGAGAACGUCCCGGAAGGAGGAUCAAUGGAGAUAGCGAUCCUGGCUCUCUGUCCUCUCACCUAG
This 405-nucleotide long non-coding RNA is filed under the name Oryza sativa aus subgroup. RNAcentral describes it as "lncRNA OsNaBo_11g0013240". The record is from RNAcentral. Lineage: Eukaryota; Viridiplantae; Streptophyta; Magnoliopsida; Poales; Poaceae.